GGAGACAUGGUUCAGCAGGUAAGAGCACUGGCUACUCUUCCAGAGGUCCUGGGUUCUAUUCCCAGCGUCCACA
This 73-nucleotide transfer RNA is filed under the name Rattus norvegicus (Norway rat). It matches the Rfam family "tRNA". From Rfam's summary of the family: Transfer RNA (tRNA) molecules are approximately 80 nucleotides in length. Their secondary structure includes four short double-helical elements and three loops (D, anti-codon, and T loops). Further hydrogen bonds mediate the characteristic L-shaped molecular structure. tRNAs have two regions of fundamental functional importance: the anti-codon, which is responsible for specific mRNA codon recognition, and the 3' end, to which the tRNAs corresponding amino acid is attached (by aminoacyl-tRNA synthetases). tRNAs cope with the degeneracy of the genetic code in two manners: having more than one tRNA (with a specific anti-codon) for a particular amino acid; and 'wobble' base-pairing, i.e. permitting non-standard base-pairing at the 3rd anti-codon position. The record is from Rfam by way of RNAcentral. Lineage: Eukaryota; Metazoa; Chordata; Mammalia; Rodentia; Muridae.